ACGGAAGGCAGCAGCUAAGAGUAUUCCGCAAUGGACGAAAGUCUGACGGGGCGACGCCGCGUGGAUGAUGAAGGUCGGAAGAUUGUAAAAUCCUUUUAUAACUGAGGAAUAAGCAGUGUGAGAGAAACGCAUCGCGGUGACUGUAGGUUAUGAAUAAGCAACGGCUAAUUACGUGCCAGCAGCCGCGGUAACACGUAAGUUGCGAGCGUUGUUCGGAAUUAUUGGGCGUAAAGGGCAUGUAGGCGGUUUUGCAAGCUUGAUGUGAAAGGCAGGAGCUUAACUCCUGGACUGCGUUGAGAACUGCAUGACUAGAGUCACUGAGGGGCAAUCAGAAUUCCUGGUGUAGGGGUGAAAUCUGUAGAUAUCAGGAAGAAUACCAAUGGCGAAGGCAGGUUACCAGCAGAUGACUGACGCUGAGGUGCGAAGGUGCGGGGAGCAAACAGGAUUAGAUACCCUGGUA
Molecule: ribosomal RNA, 460 nt
Filed under: uncultured Treponema sp.
Lineage: Bacteria; Pseudomonadati; Spirochaetota; Spirochaetia; Treponematales; Treponemataceae
Description: partial 16S ribosomal RNA
Rfam family: Bacterial small subunit ribosomal RNA
Source: RNAcentral